GUGUACCUACGGGGGGCAGCAGUUAGGAAUAUUCGUCAAUGGGGGAAACCCUGAACGAGCAAUGCCGCGUGAAGGAUGACGGUCCUAUGGAUUGUAAACUUCUGUUGUUAGGGAAGAACGACCUAAGUAGGAAAUGACUUAGGAGUGACGGUACCUUUCAAGAAAGCUCCGGCUAACUACGUGCCAACAGCCGCGGUAAUACGUAGGGAGCGAGCGUUAUCCGGAUUUAUUGGGUGUAAAGGUUGCUUAGGCGGCUUCUUAAGUCUGUAGUCUA
RNAcentral lists this ribosomal RNA (274 nucleotides) under uncultured bacterium. RNAcentral's name for it is "partial 16S ribosomal RNA". It matches the Rfam family "Bacterial small subunit ribosomal RNA", at positions 333 to 598 of the family's 1533-position model. The record is from RNAcentral.